This 433-nucleotide ribosomal RNA is filed under the name uncultured bacterium. RNAcentral's name for it is "partial 16S ribosomal RNA". It matches the Rfam family "Bacterial small subunit ribosomal RNA", at positions 29 to 507 of the family's 1533-position model. The record is from RNAcentral.
AACGAACGCUGGCGGCAUGCCUAACACAUGCAAGUCGAACGAGACCUUCGGGUCUAGUGGCGCACGGGUGCGUAACGCGUGGGAACCUGCCCAUAGGUUCGGAAUAACUCCCCGAAAGGGGUGCUAAUACCGGAUAAAAUAUUCGGACCAAAGAUUUAUCGCCUUUGGAUGGGCCCGCGUUGGAUUAGCUAGUUGGUAGGGUAAAAGCCUCCCAAGGCGACGAUCCAUAGCUGGUCUGAGAGGAUGAUCAGCCACACUGGGACUGAGACACGGCCCAGACUCCUACGGGAGGCAGCAGUGGGUAAUAUAGGACGAUGGGCGAAAGCCUGAUCCAGCAAUGCCGCGUGAGUGAUGAAGGCCUUAGGGUUGUAAAGCUCUUUUACCCGGGAUGAUAAUGACAGUACCGGGAGAAUAAGCACCGGCUAACUCCGUG